Molecule: non-coding RNA, 203 nt
Organism: Pelobates cultripes (western spadefoot toad)
Lineage: Eukaryota; Metazoa; Chordata; Amphibia; Anura; Pelobatidae
Source: the annotation of a GenBank genome assembly
GUUAGACAAUAUACUGACUGCAUGUAGAAACAGGACUCCUCCAGAUCCUCAACAAUAGAAUAGAUCAUUCAACUUUUUAGAGUGCUGAUGUAGUUUUUUUUUUUUUUUUUUACUUUUGGCUGAGUGACUGAGUGUAGGUUACAGUGGAUGAGAGCUGGACGUAGAUGGCUGGAAAUAGAGAUAGCUAUAUAGAAAUUGAUAGG